RNAcentral lists this ribosomal RNA (468 nucleotides) under uncultured bacterium. Its description in RNAcentral is "partial 16S ribosomal RNA". It matches the Rfam family "Bacterial small subunit ribosomal RNA", at positions 29 to 507 of the family's 1533-position model. The record is from RNAcentral.
AUGAACGCUGGCGGCGCGCCUAACACAUGCCAGUCGAACGGUUAAAGCACCUUUUAGGUGUGUAUAAAGUGGCGAACGGCUGAGUAACACGUGGGCAACCUGCCCUCCUCUUGGGGAUAGCCUCGGGAAACCGAGGAUAAUACCCGAUACUUCAAUGUGGCCGCAUGACGACAUUGAGAAAGCUUUUGCGGAGAAGGAUGGGCCCGCGGCCUGUUAGCUUGUUGGUGGGGUAGAGGCCUACCAAGGCAAUGAUGGGUAGCUGGGUUGAGAGACCGACCAGCCAGAUUGGGACUGAGACACGGCCCAGACUCCUACGGGAGGCAGCAGUGGGGAAUCUUGCACAAUGGGCGAAAGCCUGAUGCAGCGACGCCGCGUGCGGGACGAAGGCCUUCGGGUUGUAAACCGCUUUCAGCAGGGACGAGGCGAUAAGUGACGGUACCUGCAGAAGAAGCCCCGGCUAACUACGUG